RNAcentral lists this ribosomal RNA (498 nucleotides) under uncultured bacterium. Its description in RNAcentral is "partial 16S ribosomal RNA". It matches the Rfam family "Bacterial small subunit ribosomal RNA", at positions 899 to 1397 of the family's 1533-position model. The record is from RNAcentral.
ACUCAAAGGAAUAGACGGGGGCCCGCACAAGCGGUGGAGUAUGUGGUUUAAUUCGAAGCAACGCGAAGAACCUUACCUAGGUUUGACAUCCUCUGAUGUCCGGUAGAAAUAUCGGUUUCUAGCAAUAGACAGAGAGACAGGUGCUGCAUGGCUGUCGUCAGCUCGUGUCGUGAGAUGUUGGGUUAAGUCCCGCAACGAGCGCAACCCUUACCCUUAGUUGCCACCAUUAAGUUGGGCACUCUAGGGGGACUGCCGGUGAUAAACCGGAGGAAGGUGGGGAUGACGUCAAGUCCUCAUGGCCCUUACAUCUAGGGCUACACACGUACUACAAUGGUCGAGACAAAGCGAAGCGAGACCGCAAGGUGGAGCCAAACGCAAAAACACGAUCUCAGUUCGGAUAGUGGUCUGCAACCCGACCACUUGAAGUUGGAAUCGCUAGUAAUCGCGGAUCAGCAAGCCGCGGUGAAUACGUUCCCGGGCCUUGUACACACCGCCCGU